This 416-nucleotide ribosomal RNA is filed under the name Synalpheus nr. yano BOC-106. Its description in RNAcentral is "partial 16S ribosomal RNA". The record is from RNAcentral. Lineage: Eukaryota; Metazoa; Arthropoda; Malacostraca; Decapoda; Alpheidae.
GUCUAUGUGAAUAAAAUAUUUAGUUUGACCUGUCCACUGAGAUUUUAAAGGGCUGCGGUAAUUUGACCGUGCAAAGGUAGCAUAAUCAAUAGUCUUUUAAUUGAUGGCUUGAAUGAAAGGUUUGACGGAAGAGAAGCUGUCUUUUUGACUUAUUUUGAAUUUAACUUUUGUGUGAAAAGGCAUUAAUAAUUUAGAGGGACGAUAAGACCCUAUAAAAUUUUACAUGUAGUAUGUUUUUAAAUAAAAUUGAUUAGUAAAUGUUAAUAGGCAAGAUUUGUUUUGCUGGGGCGGCAGGAAUAUAAGUUUAACUGUUUUAUAUUUAAAAUGCUAUAGGUAGAGAAUGGUCCUUUUAUUAAGGAGAAAAGAGUAAGUUACUUUAGGGAUAACAGCAUAAUUUUUUCUAAGAGUUCUUAUUG